GGCCGGUGAUGUGAGAAAAAUAUUUGCUACUCUUGAUUGGGGUUAUCCCCAACUGAUGAUUCUUAUCCACCAAGAUCUCUGAGGCU
RNAcentral lists this small nucleolar RNA (86 nucleotides) under Nelumbo nucifera (sacred lotus). RNAcentral describes it as "Small nucleolar RNA SNORD24". It matches the Rfam family "Small nucleolar RNA SNORD24". Rfam says of the family: U24 is a member of the C/D class of snoRNA which contain the C (UGAUGA) and D (CUGA) box motifs. The record is from Rfam by way of RNAcentral. Lineage: Eukaryota; Viridiplantae; Streptophyta; Magnoliopsida; Proteales; Nelumbonaceae.